CCUGGUAGUCCACGCCGUAAACGAUGUCAACUAGCCGUUGGAAUCCUUGAGAUUUUAGUGGCGCAGCUAACGCAUUAAGUUGACCGCCUGGGGAGUACGGCCGCAAGGUUAAAACUCAAAUGAAUUGACGGGGGCCCGCACAAGCGGUGGAGCAUGUGGUUUAAUUCGAAGCAACGCGAAAGAACCUUACCAGCCUUGACAUGCAGAGAACUUUCCAGAGAUGGAUUGGUGCCUUCGGGAACUCUGACAC
This 250-nucleotide ribosomal RNA is filed under the name uncultured bacterium. RNAcentral's name for it is "partial 16S ribosomal RNA". It matches the Rfam family "Bacterial small subunit ribosomal RNA", at positions 786 to 1035 of the family's 1533-position model. The record is from RNAcentral.